Molecule: unclassified non-coding RNA, 3827 nt
Filed under: Sitophilus oryzae (rice weevil)
Lineage: Eukaryota; Metazoa; Arthropoda; Insecta; Coleoptera; Curculionidae
Description: uncharacterized LOC115878596, transcript variant X1
Source: RNAcentral
AUAGAAGGCAUUGUUUUAUGUUAGGAUUUUCAAAAUAAAGCUUAUUUUGUUAGUUAUUGGCUGGUUUAUCUUACUUUAUCUCAGCUAAAUAAUUUAUAAAACUAUUUGUCACUGAUACCAAGAAACCUACUCAAUAGACUAUUUUACCAGGAAUCACGGAUUUAAAAAUUAUUUUGGAGCCCUAUGGGGGUUAAUAUCGAUGCAGUCCUUUCAGGGCUGCUAAAACCAUGGGAAAUUGUUGCGUUAACUGUUGGCCGACAUGUGGUAAAACAGGGCCUCUUUGUAAUUUUAGCAUGCUAUCCAAAUCAAAUACCGAUUUUACCUUUCUCAUUGAGGAGGAGUCUGCUUGCGGAGCCACAGAAACUAGGAGUUUUUUUACGAGACUUCUUGAGAGACAUAAGAAAAAACAAAAGAAGCAAAACACUAGCAUGGUUGAAAAUAUGUUAAAUCCUAAUCAUUCAUAUAGUAGGUUAUCAGAAAGACAACGAGCUUUAUCACAAGGUUCCUUUAAUAACCGAGACAUCCAGCUGCAGAGUUUAGAUGCAGGGGCUCUUCUCGGUAGAACAAAUACUUCAACUCCAGAAAAUUCAUUGGAUUUAGAGUGGGAGCAUGAGACUUUGCCCGUAUCAUUAGUUCAUGAUCCUUCAGCAAGCUCAUGGGGUACUUCACUCUUUCGCGAAGACACUUUAGCCAGUCAAGCCAAUACCAGUCCAAACCAUAACGAAGGCGUUGGUAACACUAGCGAAUCCGACUGGUCUCGUGUGUCAUCCUCGGCCAAUAGUUUAGAAUGGGACAGCGUUCAAAAUUCGGCGCAGUCUGAUGUCGACACGUUAGAUAUCGAUACGCAGUUUUUAUUGAAUGAAAUUGAUCGUUUGACCAAUCAGGCUCUUAAAGAGACAGGUACUCUUCCCGACAGUGUAAGUUAUUUAGACGACACAGUGUAGUCUAUACUUUAGACGUAAAUUUACGUCAUUACUUUUAUGCCAUCAAACAUUCCACUAACUUAACAGUCUGAGGUUUUUUCUAAUAUCAAUUUUGAAACUUAAAUAUAUUUUAUAGAUUUUUCAAGAUUUGAAAUAUCAUUUUAAAAGGUUGUUUAAAAGGUUGUAUUCGUUUAGUUUUAAUAAGAUGCAUUUAAUCAAGAGUUUUGGUAUAUUUUUAGAAUCAUAAAUGUAUGUAAAAGAUGUUUGUUGCAUAUUAUGACGUAAAUAUUAAAUACAACUAGUUAAGUAUGUAAUUAUUUAAGUUUUUCAAUAUUUUAUAAUAAUCUGUUCAAAAUAGGAUCUUCUAUUUCUAGAGUAGAUUAGAAAUAAAAUAAUUAUUUGUAUAUAAAGAAAGUUAAUUGUUAACUAUCUAAAGACUGUAAGGUUAAUGUAACAUUAAUCAAAAUACAAAUUAUUUUUGAAUAGGUACUUGAUUAAAUAGGGAUUAAUCUGUGAAAUACAUAUUACCAGAAGAUUUCAACAACUAAGCUGAAAAGAAUAGUAAUAUUAUUUUUAAUUAAUAUUAAGAAAUGUCGGACUGAAAUAGUCCAGACUAAAAAACUGUUAUCAACUGGCUACUCAUAAUAUACAAUCAGUUGUUUAAGUAUUAGCAACAUUUCUAAUAGGUUUGCAUUAAAUAACUAUGAAUAAUAAAAUACUAUGUAUAGUUUGUCCAGCGACAGAAAUGAGUUCCACAGACAUUUGAAAAAAAAUCCACAAUCAAUCCACAUUUUCCUUAAAAUGAGACAAAAUCUAAUGUUCCUAUAUUUUCACGGAACAUCUUAAGGUGCGUCCACAUGCUUGUGAUCCUGCUCGCGCCCUUGCUUCUGUGCUUGCGUUACUUGCGCUUCCUGUUUGUCGUGUUUCUCAAGAUCUUUUGGCUCGCAAGCAACGGCGUCCACACUGUAAUGUAGUGCUUGCGUUCGUGCUGUUCGGACAUGGAUGAUGAUGAUGCCGAAGUAUUUUUAAUAGCGGCUGCUAGUGGGAUCAUUAUUGCAAAACGAAGGAGACUAAGAGAAAAAAAGACGGUGUUGGAUGUCUAAUAAUUUCAAAAGUAGAUCCCAGUACAGUGAAAGUAAGCUUCUACACGAUUUACAAACACACAGAAUGUUUUUAAAUAAUUUUUAUCGCAUGUCCGCUACUGAUAUUGAAAGACUUUUUAGUUGGCCCCCGCAUAGAAAGAAAAAUACAACUUUUAGGAAGUGUAUUCCGGUUAAAGAAAGAGUUAAAGAAAGAUUGGCCAUAACAUUAAGAUUCCUUGCAAGACCUUGUGGAGACUCACAUACCAGCUUGGGUUAUUUAUUCAAAGUUUACAAGCAAAGCAUUUCAAAAAUAGUGCCAGGCGUAUGCCAAAAUAUAAAUAAAGUUCUCAAAGAUCAGAUUAAGAUAAGUAGGCAUUAUAAAUAUAGAGUUAUAUUUUAUUAAUAGGUUAGUAAGCGAGGGUUUUAGGGUCCGAAUAAUGAACACCUGCCCCGAUUGACCUGAAAUUUUAGCAGUGAAUAGAUAUGUUAUAUUGGUCCAACAUAUAUAUACAUAUAUAUUAGAAACAAAAGUUACAUAGUACCGAUGGGUGCUUUCACCCUGGGGGUGAGUGCCACUCCUUCUCGGGGUGAAAGAUAAAUCACCAAUUUUAAUUGCAAAAAUCAAUAAAGGUGAAUUCUAAGCAAAAAAUGUUUCAAAAACACAACUAUUUUUAAUUCUGAACAAAAAAAUAAGAAAAAUCAUGGUAGCAUCAUCAUACUGCAGUAAAUACCGAAUCCUAUAAAUGAAACUAAACUAAAAACUAAACAAACGCAAACAGCUCGAGCGCUUCGAACCGCCGCACAUAGGUCAUUUUAUGUAUUUUAGGAAUUAAUAAAUAAAAAAAUUGAAUGUCGAAAAAAAUAUUUUUUUAUAUUUCAUCUUGGAGCUAGGGCCCCAUAGAUAUUAUUUCUGCAAUAUUAUAUUUUAAUAUUAACAAAGGUGGCCAUGGCGAGAAUGACAAUAUCAAAGUUUGUUUGAAUUAUUUCGCGUUGUAAAAUUACUGUCAUUAGUUCAUAAAGUUUCGAAUUUUGUUGUUACGAAUAGAAGGUGAGUUUAAAAAGUAGUGCUGUGUUAUUGUGUACCAUAAGGUACCAUGUCAAUAGAAAAAUCUCUCUUGUUUUCUGCUUGGUGUGAAGGCAAUUCUUUGAAGAACAAAAAUGCAUCUGUUUUGCCAUUUGUUCUGAACACGCUAAAUUUAGGGCAACAUGUUGGCGACGAACAUUAUAAUGAAAUAGUGAAAAUUAUUAAAAAAUGUAAUUAUUAUUAUUAUUACUCUUUGUCUAAAUGUGUGGGAACACGGUCAAAUAAGGAACCAUUUAUCAAAGAAGUUCUUAAUUUACUUCGAGAGCGUACUUUACAGGCAUCAGAGUUUGAUGAAAAUAUUAGUCAGGAUGAUGAUAUCAUCGAUAUUAUGUCUCUAAAAGGGUACCUACAUAGUGAGGCAUCUCGAUGCGAUGUUCGCCGCGAUGCAUCCUACGCGCACUUACUCGUUUGCAGUGCUUAGAACGUGCGCGUAGGAUGCAUCGCGGCGAGCAUCGCAUCUAGAUGCUUCACUAUGUUUGUACCCUUAGUAGUGACGAGGAUAUCGAUAGUGAUUAAAUAAAAAUAUUAUUACAUAAAUUUCUCUAGUAAAAUAGUGUUAUUAUCAUUUUAUUUAUAUUUGUUAAAUGUUUUAGGUUGUUUUUUUCAUUGUUCAAGCUAAUUUUUACUUUCAAUUAACUUUAAAAUUAAAAAUUAAAUUUAGUAAACCUUCUAGAUACUAAUAAAUUCACUUACAAAAAAGUAACGAACUACAGUUUUUGUUUGAGUUCGAUAUAAUAA